Molecule: ribosomal RNA, 492 nt
Filed under: uncultured bacterium
Lineage: Bacteria
Description: partial 16S ribosomal RNA
Rfam family: Bacterial small subunit ribosomal RNA
Source: RNAcentral
AGUGAACGCUGGCGGUAGGCCUAACACAUGCAAGUCGAACGGCAGCACAGUAAGAGCUUGCUCUUACGGGUGGCGAGUGGCGGACGGGUGAGGAAUACAUCGGAAUCUACUUUUUCGUGGGGGAUAACGUAGGGAAACUUACGCUAAUACCGCAUACGACCUACGGGUGAAAGCAGGGGAUCUUCGGACCUUGCGCGAUUGAAUGAGCCGAUGUCGGAUUAGCUAGUUGGCGGGGUAAAGGCCCACCAAGGCGACGAUCCGUAGCUGGUCUGAGAGGAUUGUCAGCCCCACUGGAACUGGGCCACGGUCCAGCCUCCUUCGGGAGGCAGCAGUGGGGAAUAUUGGACAUUGGGCGCAAGCCUGAUCCAGCCAUCCCGCGUGGGUGAAGAAGGCCUUCGGGUUCUAAAGCCCUUUUGUUGGGAAAAAAAAGCAGCAGUUUAAUACCCCGCUGUUCUGACGGUACCCAAAGCAUAAGCACCGGCUAACUUCGUG